ACGAGCGAGAUUUAUCCAGGGUAGCCAGUUCGUCUUUAUGUUUAGCCAGUAUUGUCGAUCCGAGCUGUGAACACGCAACCUUCAUUGGUUCGAUUGACAAACGAUUGAUCACGUUUUUAUAUGCACUCGGUACAGAAGGAAUGGAUAAUCACGGGAGGUCGAGACGCGGAUAAUGGAUGUUGUUAUGACUUGAGCGCACGGUAUUUUAAAGUUCGCUGCUAGUCAAGAAAUGACUGGGACAUGACCGAAGCAACUAUAUCCAACUACGGCCCUUCAAACAUACAGCGUCAAAAAAUGCAACAACAGUAUUGAACGACAGCCAAAGGAGGUCAUUGAUAUUUUAUGCACGAAUCUAUGACUAAGGAAAAACUAAAUCAUAAUCGUCUUUAAAUUAUCAAGUUACAAUAUUAAUAAAAUGCGCUUGAGGCGCUGAAUCAUUUAUGAUUAAUAUUCGUCAUAAAGUGAAGAAUCUUUAAUUAUGAUAUUAUCUACAAAAAUCAGUGUGCCAUAGAAUAAACAGCGCCAAGAACCUUGUUAGUUUAAUUAGCUCAGUCAUAACAGCUGACUGUGAGGAUCGAAUACCGGGUAAGGGUACAUUGCAGAAGGUACUGAUAUAUAAUAAACAACGAAAAGAACUUGAAAAUUAAAUAUCAAUCGGGAUUCAAUUUGUUUCCACUGGUCUACGAGAUUUUAAGAGCACUGACGGAAAUUAAGCGUAUGUUGAGAUCGUCGAGAAGCUACGAAUCGAGUGCAAGAAUAAACAGGCAGAAUUUUUUCGAACUUUA
This is a long non-coding RNA of Varroa destructor (honeybee mite), 785 nucleotides long. Lineage: Eukaryota; Metazoa; Arthropoda; Arachnida; Mesostigmata; Varroidae. The record is from RefSeq and is a predicted model, not a curated record.